RNAcentral lists this long non-coding RNA (1089 nucleotides) under Fukomys damarensis (Damara mole-rat). Its description in RNAcentral is "lncRNA (ENSFDAG00000026177.1)". The record is from RNAcentral. Lineage: Eukaryota; Metazoa; Chordata; Mammalia; Rodentia; Bathyergidae.
GCAGAUUCUAGAGCCUCUAGAACCACAGAAACUGAGCUAAUGCGUGUGUUCUCUUUGAACCAGACAGGGUGUGACCAUCUGUUUGACAAGGAAAUCACCUUACAUUUUCAUUACCCAAAAGAUCAUGGAAGCAUGGUCUUCGCAGGAACUUCGGUCUUACUGAGGGCUCACGGGCGGUCGGAGUUCAAUGGAGGAAAGAAAGGAUCCAUAGCUGCAGGUGAGGGGAGCUCAGAUGGGGAUCUCUUUGAAAACAACACAAACAUUUUAUUGAGCAGCCCCUGUGCAGAGGCAUUUUGCUCAGUACCGGGAAGAUCACAAGGAUGAAUGACAUAGCACCCUCACCCCAGAGUGCAGCCAUCUGGGGUGGCAGUUAAACACACACAGUGGGAACCGGGUACAAUGCCGGUUUUGAUGAUGCCAUAAUUCAGCGAGAAACAAAAGACCAGGAGGAGCUGAGAGGUACAGCCACCGGUGCUAUCACACACUAGGAGACUGUGGAUAACGAUGGUGUGUUGUGUAUAACAGAAAGCCAGGAGAAAGCAUCGGGAAUGUUUUCAUUACAGAGACAUGAUCCAUGUGGGAGGACGCAGAGACACUCAACCUGGUUUAGACAGCGCACCAUAUAUACGUGUACAGAAACAAAGCACCCCAUAGGUAUGUACAAUUUCACGUAUCAGUCAAAAUGAAUUUAAUAAACAAAAUCGGGCUGAAACGAGGGCCUUCAAAACACGUUUCACAGCAGGAAGUUCCUGGGGAGGAACCUGCUGUGUUCGGAGAUGGACAGAUUUCCAUGAGGCCGUUGUGCUGGGUAUGUUGAGAGGCUAAAAAAUGAAGCUAAAGGAAGUCGAACUGCGGAAUCUUAGUCCACAGACAGGAUAAACACAAGGACUGAGCUUUCUGAAGGUGACUGGGUGAUUUCAGCAUGGACCAGGGUAGGGGAGAGACUGGCAGUGCAGACUACAUCCAGAAAGCAACUGUGACCCUUCUUGAGAGAAGUUACGAAGAGUGACCACAGACAGGAAAAGGUGGAAGCCGAUUCUGUUAAUAUCCGAGAGAUAUAAUGAGCAAAAUUUUGCCCCUGAACAGCCA